AACGAACGCUGGCGGCAUGCCUAACACAUGCAAGUCGAACGAGACCUUCGGGUCUAGUGGCGCACGGGUGCGUAACGCGUGGGAACCUGCCCUUAGGUUCGGAAUAACUCCCCGAAAGGGGUGCUAAUACCGGAUAAUGUCUUCGGACCAAAGAUUUAUCGCCUUUGGAUGGGCCCGCGUUGGAUUAGCUAGUUGGUAGGGUAAAAGCCUACCAAGGCGACGAUCCAUAGCUGGUCUGAGAGGAUGAUCAGCCACACUGGGACUGAGACACGGCCCAGACUCCUACGGGAAGCAGCAGUGGGGAAUAUUGGUCAAUGGGCGAAAGCCUGAUCCAGCAAUGCCGCGUGAGUGAUGAAGGCCUUAGGGUUGUAAAGCUCUUUUACCCGGGAUGAUAAUGACAGUACCGGGAGAAUAAGCUCCGGCUAACUCCGUG
RNAcentral lists this ribosomal RNA (433 nucleotides) under uncultured bacterium. Its description in RNAcentral is "partial 16S ribosomal RNA". It matches the Rfam family "Bacterial small subunit ribosomal RNA", at positions 29 to 507 of the family's 1533-position model. The record is from RNAcentral.